Molecule: non-coding RNA, 108 nt
Organism: Acanthosepion pharaonis
Lineage: Eukaryota; Metazoa; Mollusca; Cephalopoda; Sepiida; Sepiidae
Source: the annotation of a GenBank genome assembly
CCAUAUCACGUUGAUACACAGGUCCCCGUACAAUCACCAAAGUUAAGCGUCGUCGAACCUGGUCAGUACUUAGAUAAGUUACCGCUUUGGAAUACUAGAUGCUGUAAG